RNAcentral lists this ribosomal RNA (464 nucleotides) under uncultured bacterium. Its description in RNAcentral is "partial 16S ribosomal RNA". It matches the Rfam family "Bacterial small subunit ribosomal RNA", at positions 338 to 795 of the family's 1533-position model. The record is from RNAcentral.
CCUACGGGUGGCAGCAGUAGGGAAUGUUCGUCAAUGGGCGCAAGCCUGAACGAGCAAUGCCGCGUGAACGAGGAAGGUCUUCGGAUCGUAAAGUUCUGUUGAAGGGGAAAAAGAGCGGAGAGAGGAAAUGGUCUCCGAUUGAUAUUACCCUUCGAGGAAGUCACGGCUAACUACGUGCCAGCAGCCGCGGUCAUACGUGGGGGGCGAGCGUUAACGGGAAUGAUUGGGCGAAAGGGGUGCGUAGGGGGCCCGCUAAGUCUGGCGUGAAAGGUACCGGCUCAACCGGUACAGGCUCUGGAAACGGGCGGGCUAGAGGGCAGGAGAGGGCGGUGGAACGCCAUGUGUAGCGGUAAAAUGCGUAGAUAUAUGGAAGAACACCAGUGGCGAAGGCGGCCGCCUGGCCUGUUACUGACGCUGAGGCACGAAAGCGUGGGGAGCAAAUAGGAUUAGAUACCCCAGUAGUC